UUUAAAUACAACCAUGAGUUUCCGUGCUCAAUUUUAAUCGUCCGUCUUAUUCUUUUUUUUAUAAUUAGUAUUUUAUUGUUAUGAGAUGAUAAAGCAUGAAUAUUACUUUAUGCGUGACUUAUGUAAAAAAUUUAAAAAUAAGACGGACGAUCAAAGUUGAGCACGGAAAAUCAUGGCUGACUGCACUUAAA
MicroRNA precursor from Oryza sativa Japonica Group (Japanese rice), 191 nucleotides. It matches the Rfam family "MIR812 microRNA precursor family". The record is from Rfam. NCBI's taxonomy places the organism in Eukaryota, Viridiplantae, Streptophyta, Magnoliopsida, Poales, Poaceae.